RNAcentral lists this ribosomal RNA (348 nucleotides) under uncultured bacterium. RNAcentral's name for it is "partial 16S ribosomal RNA". It matches the Rfam family "Bacterial small subunit ribosomal RNA", at positions 355 to 695 of the family's 1533-position model. The record is from RNAcentral.
UAGGGAAUCUUCCACAAUGGACGCAAGUCUGAUGGAGCAACGCCGCGUGAGUGAAGAAGGCUUUCGGGUCGUAAAACUCUGUUAUUGAAGAAGAACGUGUGUGACAGUAACUGGUCAUGCAGUGACGGUAUUCAAUCAGAAAGUCACGGCUAACUACGUGCCAGCAGCCGCGGUAAUACGUAGGUGGCAAGCGUUGUCCGGAUUUAUUGGGCGUAAAGCGAGUGCAGGCGGUCUUUUAAGUCUGAUGUGAAAGCCUUCGGCUUAACCGAAGAAGGGCAUCGGAAACUGGGAGACUUGAGUGCAGAAGAGGAGAGUGGAACUCCAUGUGUAGCGGUGAAAUGCGUAGAU